AGGAUUUAAUGUACUCUAGUCUUUUCCUUCACUUAUAAAAGGAGAUACACCUUUUUGUAAAUGACUUAGAACUUGAAUGAUAUGAGAGAAAAUUUGUCAAAAUUGCAAGCCUCUCUUGGUUCUCAUUUGGAGUUAUCUUCUACUCUAGACUUUUUCUUCCUUUUCCUUUAAGGUUGGCCUAACCUCCUUCAAUGAACCUCAUCAAAACUGCAACCUUCAAGCAUUCUUCAUAUCUUCUUCAAUGUGUCUGCAAUGCCACUUCAUCUCCAUGGAGCUUCAUCAACAAGGUUGAAGGAGCAUCUCCAUCAAGUUCCUAUCAACACUCCCCUCCACAAGAUGCACCUUGCCCUCAAGGUGGAAAUCAGAAAAAUGUUCCUUGAAUGUAGAUAAAGCUUCCCACGAGUUUUCAAAAUCUGUUGUACCCAUUUACAUUUCUACUAUGAGUGUGUUGGCGGAGGAACGUACGUUAAUAUCCUUCAAUAAGGAUUUUCGUCCGUUGCGUGGGAGAAAAGCAAAAGAAGGAGGAUGUAAAACUAAAAGUUAGAUAGUUGCAUUCAAAAGGAGAUUAAACUUUACCUUUAUUAUAGUUGCAUUUAAAAGCGAAUUAUGGUUUGCCUUUAUUUGCUGAAAAAAUACCUAACGGUUAUGUAGGAUUUCAAAGUUGUCCUAUUUCUUCUCAAGCUUUUGGAUAUACAGCAACACUUUUGAAAAAUGCAAGCAAGCCAUUUGUGGGUGUAGUGUGAAGCAAGUUUCUUUGAUUUGUGUAAUUGCAAAAUGGGGUGUUUUGUUUUUUGAU
Molecule: long non-coding RNA, 796 nt
Organism: Vigna angularis (adzuki bean)
Lineage: Eukaryota; Viridiplantae; Streptophyta; Magnoliopsida; Fabales; Fabaceae
Exons: 3
Source: RefSeq, a predicted model, not a curated record